RNAcentral lists this ribosomal RNA (564 nucleotides) under uncultured bacterium. RNAcentral's name for it is "bacterial SSU rRNA". It matches the Rfam family "Bacterial small subunit ribosomal RNA", at positions 147 to 710 of the family's 1533-position model. The record is from RNAcentral.
CUCCUGGAAACGGGUGGUAAUACCGGAUGCUCCGCCCCACCGCAUGGUGGGGUGGGAAAUGCUUUUUGCGGCAUGGGAUGGGGUCGCGUCCUAUCAGCUUGUUGGCGGGGUGAUGGCCCACCAAGGCGUUGACGGGUAGCCGGCCUGAGAGGGUGACCGGCCACAUUGGGACUGAGAUACGGCCCAGACUCCUACGGGAGGCAGCAGUGGGGAAUAUUGCACAAUGGGCGCAAGCCUGAUGCAGCGACGCCGCGUGCGGGAUGGAGGCCUUCGGGUUGUAAACCGCUUUUGUUCAAGGGCAAGGCACGGUCUUUUGGCCGUGUUGAGUGGAUUGUUCGAAUAAGCACCGGCUAACUACGUGCCAGCAGCCGCGGUAAUACGUAGGGUGCGAGCGUUAUCCGGAUUUAUUGGGCGUAAAGGGCUCGUAGGCGGUUCGUCGCGUCCGGUGUGAAAGUCCAUCGCCUAACGGUGGAUCUGCGCCGGGUACGGGCGGGCUGGAGUGCGGUAGGGGAGACUGGAAUUCCCGGUGUAACGGUGGAAUGUGUAGAUAUCGGGAAGAACACC